RNAcentral lists this ribosomal RNA (253 nucleotides) under uncultured bacterium. Its description in RNAcentral is "partial 16S ribosomal RNA". It matches the Rfam family "Bacterial small subunit ribosomal RNA", at positions 524 to 776 of the family's 1533-position model. The record is from RNAcentral.
UACGUAGGGCGCGAGCGUUGUUCGGAUUCAUUGGGCGUAAAGGGCGCGUAGGCGGCGGGGUAAGUCGGGUGUGAAAUCUCAGAGCUCAACUCUGAAACUGCACUCGAUACUGCUCUGCUUGAGGACUGGAGAGGAGACUGGAAUUCACGGUGUAGCAGUGAAAUGCGUAGAUAUCGUGAGGAAGACCAGUGGCGAAGGCGGGUCUCUGGACAGUUCCUGACGCUGAGGCGCGAAGGCCAGGGGAGCAAACGGG